RNAcentral lists this ribosomal RNA (424 nucleotides) under uncultured bacterium. RNAcentral describes it as "bacterial SSU rRNA". It matches the Rfam family "Bacterial small subunit ribosomal RNA", at positions 359 to 776 of the family's 1533-position model. The record is from RNAcentral.
GAAUCAUUCACAAUGGGCGAAAGCCUGAUGGUGCGACGCCGCGUGGGGGACGAAGGUCUUCGGAUUGUAAACCCCUGUCACCGGGGACAAAACGUCGUUUGUUAAUAGCAGACGGCCUGAUUUAACCCGGAGAGGAAGCAGUGGCUAACUCUGUGCCAGCAGCCGCGGUAAUACAGAGACUGCAAGCGUUGUUCGGAUUCACUGGGCGUAAAGGGUGCGCAGGCGGCCGGGUGUGUCGGGUGUGAAAGCUCGAGGCUCAACCUCGAAACUGCGCCCGAAACUAUUCGGCUAGAGUACUGGGGAGGGAAGCGGAAUUCACGGUGUAGCAGUGAAAUGCGUAGAUAUCGUGAGGAACACCAAUGGCGAAGGCAGCUUCCUGGACAGUUACUGACGCUCAGGCACGAAAGCGUGGGGAGCAAAAGGG